This 119-nucleotide ribosomal RNA is filed under the name Pteropus alecto (black flying fox). Lineage: Eukaryota; Metazoa; Chordata; Mammalia; Chiroptera; Pteropodidae. The record is from RNAcentral.
GUCUACAGCCAUGGCACUCUGAACAAGCUCGAUCCUGUCUGAUCUCAGAAGCUAAACAAGGUUGGGCCGGGUUAGUACUUGGAUGGGAGACCAUCUAGGAAGACCAGGUGCUGUAGGCG